CCUACGGGUGGCAGCAGUGGGGGAUAUUGGACAAUGGGGGAAACCCUGAUCCAGCGAUGCCGCGUGAGGGAAGAAGGUUUUCGGAUUGUAAAACUCUGUGGAGGGGGGCGAUAAUGACGGUACCCCUUUAGGAAGCCACGGCUAACUACGUGCCAGCAGCCGCGGUAAUCCGUAGGUGGCGCGCGUUGUCCGGAAUUACUGGGUGUAAAGGGAGUGUAGGCGGGAAAGCAAGUCAGAAGUGAAAACUAUGGGCUUAACCCAUAGCCUGCUUUUGAAACUGUUUUUCUUGAGUGAAGUAGAGGCAAGCGGAAUGCCUAGUGUAGCGGUGAAAUGCGUAGAUAUUAGGAGGAACACCAGUGGCGAAGACGGCCUGCUGGACGACAACUGACGGUGAGGCGCGAAAGCGUGGGGAGCAAACAGGAUUAGAUACCCCAGUAGUC
Molecule: ribosomal RNA, 440 nt
Filed under: uncultured bacterium
Lineage: Bacteria
Description: partial 16S ribosomal RNA
Rfam family: Bacterial small subunit ribosomal RNA
Source: RNAcentral